CAGCCGCGGUAAUACGAAGGGUGCAAGCGUUAAUCGGAAUUACUGGGCGUAAAGUGUGCGUAGGCGGUUUGUUAAGUCUGCUGUGAAAUCCCCGGGCUCAACCUGGGAAUGGCAGUGGAUACUGGCAAGCUAGAGUGUGUCAGAGGAUGGUGGAAUUCCCGGUGUAGCGGUGAAAUGCGUAGAGAUCGGGAGGAACAUCAGUGGCGAAGGCGGCCAUCUGGGACAACACUGACGCUGAGGCACGAAAGCGUGGGGAGCAAACAGGAUUAGAUACCCCCGUAGUCCCUGUCUCUUAUACACU
Molecule: ribosomal RNA, 301 nt
Filed under: uncultured bacterium
Lineage: Bacteria
Description: partial 16S ribosomal RNA
Rfam family: Bacterial small subunit ribosomal RNA
Source: RNAcentral